Molecule: long non-coding RNA, 631 nt
Filed under: Physcomitrium patens
Lineage: Eukaryota; Viridiplantae; Streptophyta; Bryopsida; Funariales; Funariaceae
Description: long non-coding RNA (PPAT_LNC005823)
Source: RNAcentral
ACUUGAGGAUUGUGUAUUUGGUGUAAUUACUCAAACGGAAAAAAUUAUAUAUAAACUUAGGGCUUUCCUUAUUUUCAAGCUUGAUUGGAUAAUUAGUGACAGCCAAAAGCCCAACGUUUUCUUGAUGCAAACUCUUUCAAUCCCAACAACAGUUAGAAUCUGGAGAAUCAAGGGAAAGGGUAUAGGAGUUGUAGAAGUUAAUUAAGGUACCAGACUGUGAUAGUCAUGAGCCAAGAUAAGCUUGGUGCUUCUUCUUUUCUUUUGUUUGUUAUUUUCUUUGAAUAAGAGGAUUGAGAGUUUCUGAAUAUUGUGAAGUGAAUUAUGGAAUGAAAAUGUAAUUGGUAUUAUUUGAGAAGAAAAAAGAUUGAAUGCUGAAAUCUGAUUGUAUUUCACAACAGAGAGAAUGAGUCUAUGUUUGUGUGAAACACUGUAAUGUGAAUGGCAGUUCUGUGUGAAGAAUUCCAGUGAUUGGAAUGAGGGUAAUUGUGUACUGAAAGCUGUGAGGGCACAGUAUUAUAGUUGGAGAUUAUGAGGGUGAAUAUAUUGGUAGAAAUAGCAGUUAUUGAUAUGACUAAAUUGCUGCAAAGAAGAGACCGAUAAGGUGAAGGAGGAGAUUAUAGUUUCUUUGUGU